GAGAACUCAGACACAGCUUGAAGAUACAAUUAAAAAAAUGUAAGACAUCUUCCACUUUUGCUCAAUCCAGGCUUGCUACUUCUUAAUAGAAACAGUGGCAUUAAACAUACAACGGUUCUUGCUGCAGAAGUUUCAGCAAGAAACACAAACAUGAGUUAUUUUUUAGCAAUAAUAAAAGCUAAUCAAUCUAUUUGGAAAUAACAAGAGCAUUUCUUAAACAAUCAGACAUUAAGAGCUUUGCUUCCACCUUCCAUCCGCAAUAUUGUUUCAGUCAAGAACAGGGAUAUGAACCAGUCAACUAGUACUAGUACCUCAUCAAAAAACCGUGUUUCCAACAGAUUGAUGGUUGUUUGCAGCUUUACAGUCUCUUGAUACAAAAUACCAAAUGGAGAGAAUUACAUUGGAAAAGGUUGAUAGAGGAAGCUAGAUUGGAAUCAAGCUUAAUUAUGUCAACUGAGCUUAUGGUUUAAGGAGAUAAGUCAUGGAAAGCUUAUAUUUAAAGAUAUCGAGAGCACAGCCAAUAACUAAUCCUACAGGGAAUUCAACAGCUGAUAGUGAUACCACCAAAAAGAAGAUACUAAAGCAAUGGAAGGAGAGGCAAUGUAAAGGAUUUUUGGAUAAAGACAAUAGAGCUAGAUACUAAGCUCCA
This 649-nucleotide unclassified non-coding RNA is filed under the name Hevea brasiliensis (rubber tree). The record is from RNAcentral. Lineage: Eukaryota; Viridiplantae; Streptophyta; Magnoliopsida; Malpighiales; Euphorbiaceae.